RNAcentral lists this ribosomal RNA (409 nucleotides) under bacterium. RNAcentral describes it as "partial 16S ribosomal RNA". It matches the Rfam family "Bacterial small subunit ribosomal RNA", at positions 355 to 776 of the family's 1533-position model. The record is from RNAcentral.
UGGGGAAUAUUGCACAAUGGGCGAAAGCCUGAUGCAGCGACGCCGCGUGAGGGAUGACGGCCUUCGGGUUGUAAACCUCUUUCAGUAGGGACGAAGCGCACGUGACGGUACCUGCAGAAGAAGCACCGGCUAACUACGUGCCAGCAGCCGCGGUAAUACGUAGGGUGCCAGCGUUGUCCGGAAUUACUGGGCGUAAAGAGCUCGUAGGCGGUUUGUCACGUCGUCUGUGAUAUCCUAGGGCUUAACCCUGGACGUGCAGGCGUUACGGGUUGACUUGAGUACUGCAGGGGAGACUGGAAUUUCUGGUGUAGCGGUGGAAUGCACAGAUAUCAGGAAGAACACCGAUGGCGAAGGCAGGUCUCUGGGUAGUUACUGACGCUGAGGAGCGAAAGCAUGGGGAGCGAACAGG